RNAcentral lists this ribosomal RNA (643 nucleotides) under uncultured Trichoderma. Its description in RNAcentral is "eukaryotic LSU rRNA". The stretch from base 198 to 351 matches the Rfam family "5.8S ribosomal RNA". Lineage: Eukaryota; Fungi; Ascomycota; Sordariomycetes; Hypocreales; Hypocreaceae. The record is from RNAcentral.
GGCAUCGGUCACUCCAACCCAAUGUGAACGUUACCAAACUGUUGCCUCGGCGGGAUCUCUGCCCCGGGUGCGUCGCAGCCCCGGACCAAGGCGCCCGCCGGAGGACCAACCAAAACUCUUUUUGUAUACCCCCUCGCGGGUUUUUUAUAAUCUGAGCCUUCUCGGCGCCUCUCGUAGGCGUUUCGAAAAUGAAUCAAAACUUUCAACAACGGAUCUCUUGGUUCUGGCAUCGAUGAAGAACGCAGCGAAAUGCGAUAAGUAAUGUGAAUUGCAGAAUUCAGUGAAUCAUCGAAUCUUUGAACGCACAUUGCGCCCGCCAGUAUUCUGGCGGGCAUGCCUGUCCGAGCGUCAUUUCAACCCUCGAACCCCUCCGGGGGGUCGGCGUUGGGGAUCGGCCCUGCCUCUUGGCGGUGGCCGUCUCCGAAAUACAGUGGCGGUCUCGCCGCAGCCUCUCCUGCGCAGUAGUUUGCACACUCGCAUCGGGAGCGCGGCGCGUCCACAGCCGUUAAACACCCAACUUCUGAAAUGUUGACCUCGGAUCAGGUAGGAAUACCCGCUGAACUUAAGCAUAUCAAUAAGCGGAGGAACAUUUCAAUAAGCGGAGGAGCAUAUCAAUAAGCGGAGGAGCAUAUCAAUAAGCGGG